RNAcentral lists this unclassified non-coding RNA (343 nucleotides) under soil metagenome. Its description in RNAcentral is "partial contains 5.8S ribosomal RNA, internal transcribed spacer 2, and large subunit ribosomal RNA". The stretch from base 1 to 120 matches the Rfam family "5.8S ribosomal RNA", at positions 35 to 154 of the family's 154-position model. The record is from RNAcentral.
GAUGAAGAACGUAGCGAAAUGCGAUAAGUAAUGCGAAUUGCAGAAUUCAGUGAAUCAUCGAAUCUUUGAACGCACAUUGCGCCCGCCAGCAUUCUGGCGGGCAUGCCUGUUCGAGCGACAUUUCAACCCUCGAGCCCCCCCGGGGGCCUCGGUGUUGGGGGACGGCACACCAGCCGCCCCCGAAAUGCAGUGGCGACCCCGCCGCAGCCUCCCCUGCGUAGUAGCACACACCUCGCACCGGAGCGCGGAGGCGGUCACGCCGUAAAACGCCCAACUUUCUUAGAGUUGACCUCGGAUCAGGUAGGAAUACCCGCUGAACUUAAGCAUAUCAAUAAGCGGAGGA